RNAcentral lists this ribosomal RNA (301 nucleotides) under uncultured bacterium. RNAcentral describes it as "partial 16S ribosomal RNA". It matches the Rfam family "Bacterial small subunit ribosomal RNA", at positions 509 to 807 of the family's 1533-position model. The record is from RNAcentral.
CAGCCGCCGCGGGAAUACGUAGGGUGCGAGCGUUAAUCGGAAUUACUGGGCGUAAAGCGUGCGCAGGCGGUUGUGCAAGACAGAUGUGAAAUCCCCGAGCUUAACUUGGGAACUGCAUUUGUGACUGCACGGCUAGAGUGUGUCAGAGGGGGGUAGAAUUCCACGUGUAGCAGUGAAAUGCGUAGAUAUGUGGAGGAAUACCGAUGGCGAAGGCAGCCCCCUGGGAUGACACUGACGCUCAUGCACGAAAGCGUGGGGAGCAAACAGGAUUAGAUACCCGCGUAGUCCCUGUCUCUUAUAC